CCCCAUGGUCUCCGAUGAGGACAUCCGAAUUGGAGUAAAGCUUCGCGGACAUGGAUGGGGAUGCGUCUGAUUAGGUAGUAGGCGGGGUAACGGCCCACCUAGCCUACGAUCAGUAGGGGGUCUGAGAGGAAGGUCCCCCACAUUGGAAGUGAGACACGGUCCAAACUCCUACGGGAGGCAGCAGUGAGGAAUAUUGGUCAAUGGACGCGAGUGUGAACCAGCCAAGUAGCGUGCAGGAUGACGGCCCUAUGGGUUGUAAACUGCUUUUGCGCGGGGAUAACACCCUCCACGUGCUGGAGGUCUGCAGGUACCGCGCGAAUAAGGACCGGCUAAUUCCGUGCCAGCAGCCGCGGUAAUACGGAAGGUCCGGGCGUUAUCCGGAUUUAUUGGGUUUAAAGGGAGCGUAGGCCGUGAGGUAAGCGUGUUGUGAAAUGUAGGCGCCCAACGUCUGCACUGCAGCGCGAACUGCCCCACUUGAGUGCGCGCAACGCCGGCGGAACUCGUCGUGUAGCGGUGAAAUGCUUAGAUAUGACGAAGAACCCCGAUUGCGAAGGCAGCUGGCGGGAGCGUAACUGACGCUGAAGCUCGAAAGCGCGGGUAUCGAACAGGAUUAGAUACCCUGGUAGUCCGCGCGG
This 635-nucleotide ribosomal RNA is filed under the name uncultured bacterium. Its description in RNAcentral is "bacterial SSU rRNA". It matches the Rfam family "Bacterial small subunit ribosomal RNA", at positions 169 to 802 of the family's 1533-position model. The record is from RNAcentral.